Molecule: ribosomal RNA, 250 nt
Filed under: uncultured bacterium
Lineage: Bacteria
Description: partial 16S ribosomal RNA
Rfam family: Bacterial small subunit ribosomal RNA
Source: RNAcentral
UACGUAGGCAGCGAGCGUUGUUCGGAAUUACUGGGCGUAAAGAGUGCGUAGGUGGUUGGCUAAGUUUGGUGUGAAAUCUCCCGGCUUAACUGGGAGGGUGCGCCGAAAACUGGCGAGCUAGAGUGUGGGAGAGGGACGUGGAAUUCCUGGUGUAGCGGUGAAAUGCGUAGAUAUCAGGAGGAACACCUGAGGUGUAGACGGCGUCCUGGACCAUUACUGACACUGAGGCACGAAAGCGUGGGUAGCAAAC